This 200-nucleotide ribosomal RNA is filed under the name uncultured bacterium. RNAcentral's name for it is "partial 16S ribosomal RNA". It matches the Rfam family "Bacterial small subunit ribosomal RNA", at positions 28 to 227 of the family's 1533-position model. The record is from RNAcentral.
GAUGAACGCUAGCGGCAGGCCUAAUACAUGCAAGUCGAACGAUACCAUCUGGCUUGCCAGAUGGGAAAGUGGCGCACGGGUGCGUAACGCGUACGCAACCUACCUUAAUUAAGGGGAUAGCCCGAAGAAAUUCGGAUUAACACCGCAUAAAAACACAGUACGGCAUCGUACAAUGAUCAAAUAUUUAUAGGAUAGAGAUG